GGCGCAUUCGUCUAGGGGUUCAGGACGCCGCCCUCUCAAGGCGGAGAUCGGGGGUUCGAAUCCCCCAUGCGCCA
RNAcentral lists this transfer RNA (74 nucleotides) under Dehalococcoidia bacterium. RNAcentral describes it as "tRNA-Glu". It matches the Rfam family "tRNA". From Rfam's summary of the family: Transfer RNA (tRNA) molecules are approximately 80 nucleotides in length. Their secondary structure includes four short double-helical elements and three loops (D, anti-codon, and T loops). Lineage: Bacteria; Bacillati; Chloroflexota; Dehalococcoidia. The record is from RNAcentral.